UUCCCGGACAGCAGCGGUAUAGUUUCCUCCAUUCGUGAACUGCAGCCGGUUCGUUUCUUCCCCCGCACAGCUAAACAUCCUGGAAAUACCAGAAACGAAAAAAAAACACAAAACGGGAUGCUUUUAAUACUUCAACAUGGCUGGAGACAGGAUGUUCUACUGUACAUUGUAUCUCUGACCCCAGAGCUGCAGGACCCAAACCCGUCAUGAAUGACUGCCCACAAC
Scophthalmus maximus (turbot) is the source of this 225-nucleotide long non-coding RNA. RefSeq lists it as uncharacterized. The transcript is spliced from 3 exons. NCBI's taxonomy places the organism in Eukaryota, Metazoa, Chordata, Actinopteri, Pleuronectiformes, Scophthalmidae. The record is from RefSeq and is a predicted model, not a curated record.